GAAAGGCCGUGAUCAAAAAUGCGGACAUGUCGGAAGAGAUGCAACAGGACUCGGUGGAGUGCGCUACUCAGGCGCUGGAGAAAUACAACAUAGAGAAGGACAUUGCGGCUCAUAUCAAGAAGGAAUUUGACAAGAAGUACAAUCCCACCUGGCAUUGCAUCGUGGGGAGGAACUUCGGUAGUUAUGUGACACAUGAAACCAAACACUUCAUCUACUUCUACCUGGGCCAAGUGGCCAUUCUUCUGUUCAAAUCUGGUUAAAAGCAUGGACUGUGCCACACACCCAGUGAUCCAUCCAAAAACAAGGACUGCAGCCUAAAUUCCAAAUACCAGAGACUGAAAUUUUCAGCCUUGCUAAGGGAACAUCUCGAUGUUUGAACCUUUGUUGUGUUUUGUACAGGGCAUUCUCUGUACUAGUUUGUCGUGGUUAUAAAACAAUUAGCAGAAUAGCCUACAUUUGUAUUUAUUUUCUAUUCCAUACUUCUGCCCACGUUGUUUUCUCUCAAAAUCCAUUCCUUUAAAAAAUAAAUCUGAUGCAGAUGUG
This 543-nucleotide long non-coding RNA is filed under the name Homo sapiens (human). RNAcentral describes it as "long non-coding RNA NONHSAT162874.1". The record is from RNAcentral. Lineage: Eukaryota; Metazoa; Chordata; Mammalia; Primates; Hominidae.